This 402-nucleotide ribosomal RNA is filed under the name Salilagenidium thermophilum. Its description in RNAcentral is "partial small subunit ribosomal RNA". It matches the Rfam family "Eukaryotic small subunit ribosomal RNA", at positions 30 to 432 of the family's 1831-position model. Lineage: Eukaryota; Oomycota; Peronosporomycetes; Pythiales; Lagenidiaceae. The record is from RNAcentral.
GCUUGUCUCAAAGAUUAAGCCAUGCAUGUCUAAGUAUAAACAAUUUUGUACUGUGAAACUGCGAAUGGCUCAUUAUAUCAGUUAUAGUCUACUCGAUAGUACCUUACUACUUGGAUAACCGUAGUAAUUCUAGAGCUAAUACAUGCGCAAAUACUCAACUGCUUGUCGGAAGAGUAGCAUUUAUUAGAUUGAAACCAAUGCAGUCUUUUGGCUGGUAUUGUGUUGAGUCAUAAUAACUGUGCGGAUCGCAAUUAUUGCGAUAAAUCGAUUGAGUUUCUGCCCUAUCAGCUUUGGAUGGUAGGAUAUGGGCCUACCAUGGCAUUAACGGGUAACGGGGAAUUAGGGUUUGAUUCCGGAGAGGGAGCCUUAGAAACGGCUACCACAUCCAAGGAAGGCAGCAGG